UACGAAGGGUGCAAGCGUUACUCGGAAUUACUGGGCGUAAAGCGUGCGUAGGUGGUUUGUUAAGUCUGUUGUGAAAUCCCCGGGCUCAACCUGGGACUUGCAGUUGAAACUGGAAAGCUAGAGUAGGGUAGAGGGGUGUGGAAUUCCAGGUGUAGCGGUGAAAUGCGUAGAUAUCUGGAGGAACAUCAGUGGCGAAGGCGACACCCUGAACUCAUACUGGACACUGAGGUGCGAAAGCGUGGGGAGCAAACAGG
This 254-nucleotide ribosomal RNA is filed under the name uncultured bacterium. RNAcentral's name for it is "partial 16S ribosomal RNA". It matches the Rfam family "Bacterial small subunit ribosomal RNA", at positions 524 to 776 of the family's 1533-position model. The record is from RNAcentral.